RNAcentral lists this non-coding RNA (507 nucleotides) under uncultured Glomeromycotina. RNAcentral describes it as "partial small subunit ribosomal RNA". It matches the Rfam family "Eukaryotic small subunit ribosomal RNA", at positions 591 to 1092 of the family's 1831-position model. The record is from RNAcentral. RNAcentral also lists the same sequence under 1 other name. Lineage: Eukaryota; Fungi; Glomeromycota.
CCAAUAGCGUAUAUUAAAGUUGUUGCAGUUAAAAAGCUCGUAGUUGAAUUUCGGGAUUGACGUGACGGUCGUGCCUUACGGGGUAUGAACUGUCGCCGUUGAUUUCUCACCUUCUGGAGAAGCUCGAUGUCCUUAAUUGGGUGUCUUGCGGAACCAGGACCUUUACCUUGAAAAAAUUAGAGUGUUUAAAGCAGGCAUUAUUGCUCGAAUACAUUAGCAUGGAAUAAUAGAAUAGGACGGCAUGGUUCUAUUUUGUUGGUUUCUAGGAUCACCGUAAUGAUUAAUAGGGAUAGUUGGGGGCAUUAGUAUUCAAUUGUCAGAGGUGAAAUUCUUGGAUUUAUUGAAGACUAACUACUGCGAAAGCAUUUGCCAAGGAUGUUUUCAUUAAUCAAGAACGAAAGUUAGGGGAUCGAAGACGAUCAGAUACCGUCGUAGUCUUAACCAUAAACUAUGCCGACUAGGAAUCAGACGAUGUUAAUUUUUUAAUGACUCGUUUGGCACCUUACG